Numida meleagris (helmeted guineafowl) is the source of this 1309-nucleotide long non-coding RNA. RefSeq lists it as uncharacterized. The record is from RefSeq and is a predicted model, not a curated record. NCBI's taxonomy places the organism in Eukaryota, Metazoa, Chordata, Aves, Galliformes, Numididae. The transcript has 2 exons.
UGGCAUAAAUAAAUGUAUAUUUACACGUCUCAGGUACUUGUAUAUACAGCAUCUUUAUGUUUAUAAACACAAGCUGUUAAUUACUGUCAAAAUCACUAAUUUGCUUGGCAUCAUUUGCCAACUACCAAGCCACAUAUGACUUUGCUAUAGUUUAUGACUCAGUUCCUCUGGACCUUUGGGGGCUGUGGUAUCUUGUCUAUUUUCAUGCACCUUGCUACUGCUGUUCUCUCUCAGAUUUGCAUGUCUGCUAACAAUAAAAACACGUGGAAGAAAUAGGGUAAGUAGGCUGAAAUCCACAAAGACAAAAAGGGCUCUCAUUUAGCAGAGGAACUUUGUUGGAAAUUACCUGUGCUUAUUCCCAUCUCACCAUUGAGACUGACGAGGAAAGCAAUCCCAAAGCAGGACUCCUGCUCCUCAUCGUACGAUGAGGCUGAACAAAUUGAAGAUUUUGCUUUUUUUUGGUCUUAAACUUGUGAACGUUUGUGUAGGAAACUUAGGGGAUAAGACAGGCGCACUGGGAGGCUCUCGUUAGUUCAAGAAGAGGAAAUUCUCACAGGAAACUUGCAGCACUUGAGAAAGGUCACGAAGCUGCUGGCAGCUGCAUGCAGGAAGAGAAAAUCAACUCAUUUUGAACUUGAAAGCAAAACUUGAUUUCAAAUGAGGACAAAAUCAGCAGUGGAUUGGCCAAGCUUACAGCUCGUGACCCAUGCAGUUUGUUUAUUUAAAAGUUGGUAUGUAGGAGGGAAAGCAUGGGGAGAGAGAUGUUUUCUGGAGGUUUUCUUUUUGAAGUAAUACAAGAAGCUUCUCCACGCGUUGUGUGUUCAUGAAAUAGAUGUUUGUGAGAUGAGGGCUGCAGGGGGAAGGAAGGUGAGACUGCAGUGAGGGUGGUUCGACACUGGCUUCGGUGCCCUGAGCGUUGAGUUUCUGGAUACCCUGAGGGGAAAGGUUCUGCAGCUCCACCCUACCCCCUGCCCAAGCCUUUGUGAAGUGACUACGGCUUGUUUAAAGACGUAUUAUUGUGUCAGGGCACCGAGUUUGCACUGAGAAAAAAAAGACUUCAAAUGAGGAAAUGCUUUAAAACCCCGGCUCUGAAGCAAGGCUGAAGGAUGCAGUAAGAAUCCCUUGGCGUCUGUUCAGCCUGGCCUGACAGCUAUAUGGCUUUUUUUGGCCACGGGCAGCUGCUCUGCUGUUCCAUCUGGGAGCUUGAAUAAGAUGGUGAGAGGCAUGAGGAAAGUAGGAGCACCACAGAAAGGAGACUGAACAUCAGCACCAUGUUGAAUAAAGCCACUGUUUGACAUCUGUGCUCAAA